GCUUCACUACUGGUGGCAGUCAGACAAGUUUCAACUGCUAAAGAAUUCUCAGAGUACUGGUAACUAUAAUGCUUAGGAAUCUACAGGUUAUUGCAAGAAAAGAAUGCAAAAUAGCAGCAGCAUUGAAAUAAAAGAAAUGCAUCUCAACCAAAGAUCUGCCUCACAGCAUAGAUCAGGAGAAGCCAAGAACUAGCUCUUACUGUCCUCCAUCUGCAGGACCACAGCGGACACACUUUUUCUCUCAAAUCAGAACCACCAAGAUAGGCACAGAACACCCUGGAACCAGGGAACCUAGUGUAGGCACAUUCUUGUGAAGUAACCGGCCCCAGUGGCAGAGCCCUCUGGAAGUCUCACUUAGACCAGGUGUAAACCAUCAUCUCACUGUUAUCAAUAAACGAUGCUCACAAGCUGGUACAAACUACCAGACACUGCCCUUUGGCCCCUCGGUUGAAAAGCAACACUAUUAAUCAGUACAACUCACACCUUGACUAGGAGUCAAUACUGUCUUGGCACAUCUCUCACUUCAGCAAAACAGCUCAGACCAAUUCCAGGCACGCUGGGAUCAACCCUCAGACCAUAGCUUUUCUUAAAUAAAACUGUGCAACGAAAACACUGACUGAAACUCUGGAUACACGUGCAUGGCUUACCUCUGACUCUUGGUGAACAAGCAUUUUCAUCGGGGAACACCAAACGGAAAUUUUGGAAACUUCAUUAUCCGAGGCAACUCAGACUCUCUAGGAAAGGUUAUGAUCCGCGAGAAGCCGGAAGUCAGAUAACUACCCAUCGGGAAACCUCUCGCGGGACAGCAAGGCCUGCCGCGAGAUGUCGUCGGCCGCCGCUCUGCGCUCGUCCUGCUGGAAACCUGGCCGCGGGAACUCACAGCCCUGUCGUUUUCGUGCGCUUUCCGUCCUACAUCUGGAAUGGAGUGACUGCUGUGGCAAUUCCUGGAGAAGAUUUUUUAAUUGUUGCUUUUGACAGUUUGGUGAAGGAUUUUCAAUUCACAUCUGGCCCCAAAUGUUAUAAAUUAACAGACAAAACAAACAUUGGAUGCGGCGGUUUUCAUGGAGCCUGAGGCUGACAAGCGUUAUUGAAGCAAGACUAAAGAUGUAUACGCAUUCCAGUAUUAAGGCGUGACUAAGGGGGCUGUUGCUGUGAUGCCGUCUACAAUCCUCUCUCCGAGGUGCUUCUUUCCAUACUGUUUGCAACAUCUUCAGGGUGAAGAAGUAAAGGGAGUCAUGUACAGCUUGGACGGUGUCAGGGUAGGGUGUCUGUUGGUUCACGGUCCUGGGAUUUCCCAGGUGAAAUUCAAAACUGGCCUGUGUCCAUGGAGAGCAAGGAGAGACUGAAGACGGAGGCAGACCACUCCAAAUUGAAAGCACCUGCAGAUCUUCAUGACUGUCCCUGUUGUCAAAGAUAGCAUUAUUGGGAGUAAGGAAAUUGUGCAGUCAUCAGCAAAUAGUGAGUUUCUAUUUAUAGAAGUGGCCAAGAAAAAGCUGGCUGUCUGAGAUGUUGGAGAGAGACAGUUUGCAGCCCCUGAGAGGUCGGAAUAGAGGAACCCUAAGGUAUCGAUCAGGAAGGCAACCAAACAGUGGUUAUGGGCCAGCAAAGACUGGAGAAUCCUCUCACAGAAUGAAUGCACAAGGCAGCACAAGGCAAUUCACAGAAAAUAAGCAUAAGAAAAUAGAACCACCACCAUCAUCAAGACAAAAAUUCUGAGAUUCCAUUAUCAAGAAGUAAUCGCCAUGCUGAAGUCUAGUAGGAAAGACUACUUAUUGCUUUCACUGGGAUUUGCCAUUGAACCAGCAAACAAGAACUGAAAAAGCUUGGCGGAAAGGAGAAAUAGACCACUUAUUUUCUGAACAGGAAACACACGGCAAGAAAGCAGCCCAUGAAGCAGAGCCACUGUGAGUGCCUUAUACAGCUCAUCGGUGCACACAGAUCUGGCCUCUAAUGAAGCCAUUUACAUGCAGAUGCAGGCCUGGGUGUGUGGACACCAGUCCCAACUCUGGGAAUUGUUGUUUCAUCUAAUCAAAAGAAAUUUGCACAUGAAAGCCACAUCCGUGUUCAUUAACCCCACAGCUCUCUCAAUAUUGCUUCUGUAUUAUUCCUAACAAAAUUGCAAACCUUCAUAUGAUUAGGUACCCCACUUCAGAGCUUUAUUUUCCUCCCACCCCUAACUCCGGCCUGCAUCUGAAUGUAAAACUGAAUGUGGGUCUGUAAGACUGAAGAAUUUGUAAAUCCGCUUACUGAAAAGUAAGCCCAGUCACCUUUUUCACAUUGAUUGGCCUACGUAGACACAUGCUUACUCUUUUCCCCAACCAAGGAGAACUCCAUGCUUACAAUCUUAUCAUCACUAGAAGUAUAAAUAUGCUCUUCAGGAUGGGAAUCCCAAGAGAAUAAGUUUAAUUGCCAACUUUAUUUUCAUGUGUAAAUAAGAUAAAAGUCACAGAUGCGUUUGGUGGCAAGUGUUACUCACACAUUGCAUUGAAACACGAAGGCCAUAACAAAAGUAUUUGCAGCAAGUCCUAAAAGUAAACGUCAUGGCUAUCAGUUGAUACGGGUCCAUCACACACUUAAUAAGAAUUACCUCUCCUGUCAAUCGUGUGGAUGUUAAUCGUAUAGAAUGUGCCAGUGAUCCAGCGCCAUGACUUUGUGUCAUAGUGGACAAAGAGGAUGCAUAAUAUUCGUACCAAUUCUUAUUAUCGAAGAUGAUCCUGAG
Molecule: long non-coding RNA, 2719 nt
Filed under: Equus caballus (horse)
Lineage: Eukaryota; Metazoa; Chordata; Mammalia; Perissodactyla; Equidae
Description: lncRNA (ENSECAG00000056169.1)
Source: RNAcentral